AGUGAACGCUGGCGGUAUGCCUAACACAUGCAAGUCGAACGGCAGCACAGUAAGAGCUUGCUCUUACGGGUGGCGAGUGGCGGACGGGUGAGGAAUACAUCGGAAUCUACUUUUUCGUGGGGGAUAACGUAGGGAAACUUACGCUAAUACCGCAUACGACCUACGGGUGAAAGCAGGGGAUCUUCGGACCUUGCGCGAUUGUAUGAGCCGAUGUCGGAUUAGCUAGUUGGCGGGGUAAAGGCCCACCAAGGCGACGAUCCGUAGCUGGUCUGAGAGGAUGAUCAGCCACACUGGAACUGAGACACGGUCCAGACUCCUAAGGGAGGCAGCAGUGGGGAAUAUUGGACAAUGGGCGAAAGCCUGAUCCAGCCAUACCGCGUGGGUGAAGAAGGCCUUCGGGUUGUAAAGCCCUUUUGUUGGGAAAGAAAAGCAGCAGGUUAAUACCCCGCUGUUCUGACGGUACCCAAAGAAUAAGCACCGGCUAACUUCGUG
RNAcentral lists this ribosomal RNA (492 nucleotides) under uncultured bacterium. RNAcentral describes it as "partial 16S ribosomal RNA". It matches the Rfam family "Bacterial small subunit ribosomal RNA", at positions 29 to 507 of the family's 1533-position model. The record is from RNAcentral.